This 61-nucleotide transfer RNA is filed under the name Scolytinae sp. BMNH 1040065. Its description in RNAcentral is "tRNA-Cys". The record is from RNAcentral. Lineage: Eukaryota; Metazoa; Arthropoda; Insecta; Coleoptera; Curculionidae.
AGCUAUAUAGUCAAUAAUGAUAUUGAAUUGCAAAUUCAAGGGAGAAUAAAUUCUGUAGUUU